This 30-nucleotide non-coding RNA is filed under the name Rattus norvegicus (Norway rat). The record is from RNAcentral. Lineage: Eukaryota; Metazoa; Chordata; Mammalia; Rodentia; Muridae.
UCCUGACAAGGACAGUCUCGGGGACAAGAU